This 616-nucleotide ribosomal RNA is filed under the name uncultured Legionella sp. Its description in RNAcentral is "bacterial SSU rRNA". It matches the Rfam family "Bacterial small subunit ribosomal RNA", at positions 242 to 849 of the family's 1533-position model. The record is from RNAcentral. Lineage: Bacteria; Pseudomonadati; Pseudomonadota; Gammaproteobacteria; Legionellales; Legionellaceae.
UAGCUAGUUGGUGGGGUAAGGGCCUACCAAGGCGACGAUCGGUAGCUGGUCUGAGAGGAUGACCAGCCACACUGGAACUGAGACACGGUCCAGACUCCUACGGGAGGCAGCAGUGGGGAAUAUUGGACAAUGGGGGCAACCCUGAUCCAGCAAUGCCGCGUGUGUGAAGAAGGCCUGAGGGUUGUAAAGCACUUUCAGUGGGGAGGAGUGUUGAUGGGUUAAGAGCUAAUUAACUGGACGUUACCCACAGAAGAAGCACCGGCUAACUCCGUGCCAGCAGUCGCGGUAAUACGGAGGGUGCGAGCGUUAAUCGGAAUUACUGGGCGUAAAGAGUGCGUAGGUGGUUGAAUAAGUUAUCUGUGAAAUCCCUGGGCUUAACCUGGGCAGGUCAGAUGAUACUGUUUAACUCGAGUAUGGGAGAGGGUAGUGGAAUUUCCGGUGUAGCGGUGAAAUGCGUAGAGAUCGGAAGGAACACCAGUGGCGAAGGCGGCUACCUGGCCUAAUACUGACACUGAGGCACGAAAGCGUGGGGAGCAAACAGGAUUAGAUACCCUGGUAGUCCACGCUGUAAACGAUGUCAACUAGCUGUUGGUUAUAUGAAAAUAAUUAGUGGCGC